AGGGCCCAGAAACAUGUGAGAAACAGCAGAUCAGAAGGGUCUCCAGACUGAUGGGCGGGUGAUCCUAUAUUCUUGUUGGGCUGACAACUCUUCUGGUUUCGGGCUCCAGGUGCUGGCAAGAAAUCUCAGAGAGUUAGCCAGCCUGUUCAAGGGCUUAGGAGAAAGUCAACACACUUCGCAACUUGAAUUGGUCCCAGCUGCUCCCAGAAGAACGGGCGGGUUGGUCCCUAUGCCACCCCUGGAGAGCUACUCGCCGCCCACUUUGCCGUGAAGGGCUGUGCGGUUCCCGUGCACGCCGGAGCCUGCUGUGGCCUCUUAUGCACUCCACCACCCCCAUCAGCUCCCUCUUCUCCUUCACCAGCCCCGCAGUGAAGAGACUGCUAGGCUGGAAGCAAGGAGAUGAAGAGGAAAAGUGGGCAGAGAAGGCAGUGGACUCUCUAGUGAAGAAGUUAAAGAAGAAGAAGGGAGCCAUGGACGAGCUGGAGAGGGCUCUCAGCUGCCCGGGGCAGCCCAGCAAAUGCGUCACGAUUCCCCGCUCCCUGGAC
Molecule: small RNA, 545 nt
Filed under: Pan troglodytes (chimpanzee)
Lineage: Eukaryota; Metazoa; Chordata; Mammalia; Primates; Hominidae
Description: processed transcript
Source: RNAcentral